AGGCGUGUAGCUCAACUGGCAGAGCAACGGUCUCCAAAACCGUAGGUUGGGGGUUCGAUUCCUCCCACGCCUG
RNAcentral lists this transfer RNA (73 nucleotides) under Candidatus Eiseniibacteriota bacterium. RNAcentral's name for it is "tRNA-Trp". It matches the Rfam family "tRNA". Rfam says of the family: Transfer RNA (tRNA) molecules are approximately 80 nucleotides in length. Their secondary structure includes four short double-helical elements and three loops (D, anti-codon, and T loops). The record is from RNAcentral. Lineage: Bacteria; Candidatus Eiseniibacteriota.